CCGGUCGCCGGGGGGCCGGAGCUCCACCCGACCGUUGGCGGCGGUCGCGAGCAGGAUACCGGCGGCCGGGUUCGCUUCCCGGAGACCGUCC
RNAcentral lists this transfer RNA (91 nucleotides) under Cellulomonas composti. RNAcentral's name for it is "tRNA-Ala". The record is from RNAcentral. Lineage: Bacteria; Bacillati; Actinomycetota; Actinomycetes; Micrococcales; Cellulomonadaceae.